GACAGAGGUGGCAAGCGUUGUCCGGAAUUACUGGGCGUAAAGAGCGCGUAGGUGGCUAGAUAAGUCCGGUGUGAAAUCCUUCGGCUUAACCGGGGAAUGGCAUCGGGGACUGUAUAGCUAGAGGACGGAAGAGGCGAGUGGAAUUCCCGGUGUAGCGGUGAAAUGCGCAGAUAUCGGGAGGAACACCUAUGGCGAAGGCAGCUCGCUGGGACGUUACUGACGCUGAGACGCGAAAGCGUGGGGAGCAAACAGG
Molecule: ribosomal RNA, 253 nt
Filed under: uncultured bacterium
Lineage: Bacteria
Description: partial 16S ribosomal RNA
Rfam family: Bacterial small subunit ribosomal RNA
Source: RNAcentral